This 116-nucleotide ribosomal RNA is filed under the name Lepisosteus oculatus (spotted gar). The record is from RNAcentral. Lineage: Eukaryota; Metazoa; Chordata; Actinopteri; Semionotiformes; Lepisosteidae.
GCCAGCAGCCAUAUCACCCUGCAGCUCUGGACUGGUUACCCACUGAAGAUAAGCAGGGUUGAUCCUGGUCAGUACCUAGAUGGAGACCUCCUGGGAAGCUAUAAAUGCUGCUGGAA